CAAUGGGGGAAACCCUGNAUGCAGCGACGCCGCGCUGGAGGAAGAAGGUCUUCGGCAUUGUAAACUCCUGUUGUUGAGGAAGAUAAUGACGGUACUCAACAAGGAAGUGACGGCUAACUACGUGCCAGCAGCCGCGGUAAAACGUAGGUCACAAGCGUUGUCCGGAAUUACUGGGUGUAAAGGGAGCGCAGGCGGGAGAACAAGUUGGAAGUGAAAUCCAUGGGCUCAACCCAUAAACUGCUUUCAAAACUGUUUUUCUUGAGUAGUGCAGAGGUAGGCGGAAUUCCCGGUGUAGCGGUGGAAUGCGUAGAUAUCGGGAGGAACACCAGUGGCGAAGGCGGCCUACUGGGCACCAACUGACGCUGAGGCUCGAAAGUGUGGGUAGCAAACAGGAUUAGAUACCCUGGUAGUCUAAGGGCGAAUUC
RNAcentral lists this ribosomal RNA (425 nucleotides) under uncultured bacterium. RNAcentral describes it as "SSU rRNA". It matches the Rfam family "Bacterial small subunit ribosomal RNA", at positions 369 to 808 of the family's 1533-position model. The record is from RNAcentral.